AACGAACGCUGGCGGCAUGCCUAACACAUGCAAGUCGAACGAGACCUUCGGGUCUAGUGGCGCACGGGUGCGUAACGCGUGGGAACCUGCCCUUAGGUUCGGAAUAACUCCCCGAAAGGGGUGCUAAUACCGGAUAAUGUCUUCGGACCAAAGAUUUAUCGCCUUUGGAUGGGCCCGCGUUGGAUUAGCUAGUUGGUAGGGUAAAAGCCUACCAAGGCGACGAUCCAUAGCUGGUCUGAGAGGAUGAUCAGCCGCACUGGGACUGAGACACGGCCCAGACUCCGACGGGAGGCAGCAGUGGGGAAUAUUGGACAAUGGGCGAAAGCCUGAUCCAGCAAUGCCGCGUGAGUGAUGAAGGCCUUAGAGUUGUAAAGCUCUUUUACCCGGGAUGAUAAUGACAGUACCGGGAGAAUAAGCUCCGGCUAACUCCGU
This 432-nucleotide ribosomal RNA is filed under the name uncultured bacterium. Its description in RNAcentral is "partial 16S ribosomal RNA". It matches the Rfam family "Bacterial small subunit ribosomal RNA", at positions 29 to 506 of the family's 1533-position model. The record is from RNAcentral.